ACGAAUUUUGAGAUUCUUAAGUAUUCAUUGUAAAAUUUAGGGUUGUCAUUAAAUUUUGAGAUUCUUAAGUUUCAACGUGUUUUUCAUAUGUUAACGUUACACUGUAAGAACACGAAAUGAAACCACCGCCAAAAGACGACCCGCUGUGGGUCUAGGCUUACCACCCGACGCGUAAUCCGCGCGUAACGCUAACAUACGAAAAACACGUUGCUUGAUUACGUCAUUAGAGCGGCUCACGAUGACGUCGGGACAUAGGCUUCAUCAUAUCAACAGUCCAUCAAAGCCACGCCCUCUCGUCGUAUCCAAUCACACCCCUCACCAAAUGAACAAUAUAUACGCUAAACAUUCUUCCAAACGAAUAAAAGAAAGAAAGUUAAGAUCAACCCGAUUUUCAGUUACCGUUUAUUUAUGUUUUGAUUUGAAAAGAGAAAGAAUGGAAUCAGACAAGAGGAAAAGGAGCGAGAAAGAGAAAAACGAAGAGAGGAAAAAUAAUAAUAACAAUAAUAAUAGUAAGAAGAAAAAGCAAAAGCAGCACGCGAAUGAAAAAGUGAAGGAGGAGGAGAAGGAGGCGACGGAGGAGGAGGUGGAGGAGUUCUUUGCGAUACUGAGGAGGAUCCAGGCGGCCGUCGACUACUUCGGCGGGGAGGGGUGGCGGGCGGCGGCGGAGGCGGCGGUUGUUGUCGACAAAGGUGGUGACGAAGGUAAAGAGGAGGAGAUAGUUAAGGUGAACGAAGAUAUUAACGAUGGUGUUCUGGAUUUGAACGCUGUACCGGAGGCAGAUAGUCAAAGUCAUUAAGCUAAGUAACUUUUAUUUUUAUUUUUUGUAUUUUUGGGGGGUUUGCUUGAUCUUUUGAUUAACUAGUCAUGUUGUUUGAUCAGUAGUUGCUUACUCCGAAAUCUGAAUUCGAUAAUCUACCUCUCUCUCUCUCUGUAUAUUAUUAUUAAUUAUUAAUUAAUAUUACAUGUAGCAUUGUGAAAAGGAUUUUUUUUUUAUAUAUUAAAAAGAAAAAGAAAAAGACUUAUCAGAGAAUAAAUUAAUUAUAAAAAAUGAAUAAAUAAAUAAAUAAAUACAAGAAAAGGAUGUACGCAUAAAGGAAACGUGAUAAUUAGGCAUGAAUUCCGUCGGCAAUCGGCAUCCAUAUAUAGUUGAGUCGUUGUGAAUGUGAAUCUGAAGGCGGCAUGUUGUAUUUGACGAUCGCACUUUGAUUUCUUUAUGUAUUGAAAUUGAAGCAUGGACACCUCUCUGGUCAGGAUGUCAACAAAAGCCGGAUUUUUUUUUUUUCUUUAAAUUUUUUAAAAUGUUGUUCGCGUUUUCGGAUAUGAAUAUGAUGCCACAGUCGUAAUCUGUUUAGUUAUGCAUCUAACGAAUUAAAGGGCGAGAGGGCGUGUAUUUGAAUAGUAAAGAUAUUUAAAAGCAUCAUGAAUUUGGUUUGAUAUGAAAGAUUAAUUCUCAAACGAGUAUACCCUCAUUUUAAUAAAGUGAAAUAAAUAAAAAUAUAUAUAAUUUUUAUUCAUUAAAAUAUGUAAUUUUUUUUUAUGUUUUAACGACAUCCUUAUUUUAACAAAAUUAGAAUGUUUUUAUUAGAUAAUGAUUCUGAUAUCAAAAGGAAGAUCAAAGUUUAUUUUUAUUUCUAGAUAUUACGUUGAGAUGAUAUUUCAUAAAUUUUAGAAUUGUCGAUAACAUGAGUCACAUUCAAUUCUACGUGUGUCUCAACUUUAAAAUUAUAGUUGUCAUGUGUAUUUUGUCACGUCGGAAUGUCAUCAAUUUUUUUUAAAAAAAUCAAAUUGCAUAUAUUCAAGAUAUGAAUAAUGAUCAGGCGCGUGCAGUCAUGCGUGACAAAUUUUUAUUCAAGGAGCUCUACCGUGGAGCCUAAAGCCCCCCGAUGAUAAUUUGACUCGUGUGCAAUCGCGCAUCAGAUCAUCACUCUUCAAGAGAUAGAAAACCCAAGCAUUGGAGGGGUGAAUCAUCGUGGAAUUGAGCGGCUGGGAUUAUAUGCACGGGACUGCCUAAGGGCAUAUUUGGUAUUGCAGUUUAAAAUACAGUACUAAAUCAAGCACUUACUAUUGUGAUUUAGAAAUUAAGUUAUUCUUAUCUCACACUUAUAUGAUGAAAAUCGAUCACAUCUUUAUUAUUUUUGUAGAAAUUAUUAUUUAAAAAUUAUAUUGACCUCAUGCUAUCAAUUAUUAUUUUACAACUAUAAUUCUUUUCUUUUUCUUUUUUUUUUGGGGUUGGCGCAACACGUUAAAGAUCAAAUAGAGUAUAAAAAUUUUGUGUUUACUAAACACUGCUCUUUGCACUACCAUGCAGCAAUAUAAUUUACUGGAUUUUUUUUUCGUAAAAGAAUAUAAUUUACAAGUUGAACUAGAAUAGAUAGUCCUCAAAUGCAUAACGAAAAUCUUCUAUCGCUCUUAAAGACAAUAGUAGAAUGUUAAAAUUGAUUUCCAACAAACACGGUACACCAUUAUGAAUUAUGACUGACAAUUAACAUAGCAUGCACACAAAUACAUUGGAACUCAAACGAGAUACCACCUUCAUUCUUUUACACCACAAAAUUACAAAAAUGGGAUUUCUUAAUUAAAAUAAUAAUAAAAGGAAGCAAAAAUAGACACAGCGUAGUCUUGAGACAAAAUCGUAAAAGUCAAAAAUUAAAGUGAGUCCUGAGUUUUUAAAAAAGAAAAAGAACAAAAAAAGUGAAAAAGAAUAAGAUGUUGCGAAAAUGAAAAAGAAAAAGCUAAAAGAGAGAGAGGGAGGGACAAGUAAAGGGAGUGAAUUCGUGGAAAGUUCAUAAACAUUGUCGAGUAAUUUGUCUGUCAGCUAAGCAAGCAAUUUAAACAUUGACAAAUCACAACAAAUUCAAUGGUUCUGUGUAAGAGCGAUGAUCUGGUACACCCAAUUCUACGCGAUGAUAAAUUAUUAUUUUAAUGGAACUAUAUUGUAAAUUCCACCAAUAAUAUUAUAAUAAUCUGAUACAGGCAUAAUCAUUUAUCAUAGGGUGUGUGACUGCAUGCACACGUGAAUCUUGACGGUAGUUGGACUGCAAUCACAUGCACCCGAGUCACACCGAAGCACUUUGAUUUUUAACCACAAAAUAUGUUGACCCAUUUGUUGCCCCCACAUUUUGGUCGUCUUCCAAGGAAUGAUCACAGCACCGAACAACCACCCACCUUUUCUCUGUGACUACCCGGCCCCGCGCGAGUUCACUUAUUUGUAGGUUAGCUUUUGCUUAAAAAGUAAAAUAUAAGUAAAAAUUCUAACUUAUUUUUAUGUUUAGAUGACUAUAGUAAAAAAUUUAUUUUUAAUGAAAAACUCUUUUAAAAAUGUUUGGAUGACCAUCUAAAAAAGACAUUUUAAUUAACCAACUGGGCCUUGGCGUAGUGGCCAGGACCUUGCACUCACAACUGUGAACGCAGCAGUUCGAGCUCCCGUGACGCAUGUAGGGGUUUAUUUAUUUCCUUAAUUAGGCCAAGGCCCUUACACUUACAACUGUGAACGCAGCGGUUCGAGCCCCUGCGACGCAUGUAGGGAUUUAUUUCCUUCCUUAAUUAUUAAGUGAAGGCAGUUUUCUCCCUUUCGAAAUGUGAGUGGAGUAGACACCCCUCGAAUAUUAGAGAUGAUAAAAUCUGGACAGUGUUAUAUAAGAAUUAAUGUAAAUUAGGCCCAGUAAUUGUCUGAUUGUAAAUAUCAGUUGUAAAUCUCAUAUAAUAUGAGUUGUAAUCUGAGCAUUAGUCUCAUGUAAUUAAAAAAAAAAAGACAUUUUAAUUAUUAUAAAGUCAUUAAUACCCUUAAAUAUUUGAGUCUAACAAAUUCUUAUCAAAUUUAAAAAUCAAUGACAAACGAAAUAAUUAUUUGAUCAAUCUAGUUAAAUUUUUACAAAUUAAAGUAUCGUUUUUUUUUUAUAAAAAAAAAAGAAGAACAAUAAUAAUUAGAUUAAGUUUAUCUAAGUAUAAGUUCCCUAUCAAUAUUUUCUCGAACCACUCCCAUUUCACUUGUUUCAUUUUCCUCAACAUUAAUGUUAGUUGAUGAUUCUUCGUCAUCUGGAAUAUAAUCUUCUUUUCUCUCAUAAGAUUCGAACUCCAAAUCUGCAAUAGUCUCUCUCCUUAUAAAGUUGUGUAGAGCCAUUGAUGUGGCAACAACAGCUACUUGCUUAUCAAAUUUGAAAUUAGGCAUAUGUUGAAAAAUUUUCCACCGUGCCUUCCAUACUCCAAAGGUACGUUCAAUAACACUACGCAAUGAUGAAUGUGCAAAAUUGAAUGUCUCUCAACUAUUUCUUAGUAGGCCACUACUGUGAAAUUCAAGAAUAUGAUAUUUAUCUCCUUCAUAAAGAGCUAGAAAACCUUUCAUAUUUGGAUACCCCCCAUCAACCAAGUAAUAUUUACCAACAAAUUAUAACAAAAUUAAUUAUUCUUGUUUUAAAAGAAGUAAAAAAAAAAGUAAAAUAACACUUACAAAGUGAAGAACUUACUAUCUGGUGGUUUAGGAAAUUUUACAUAAUCGUUUUUCAAUGCCUAAAAAAAUAUAUGAAUAUCAUGUGCAAUUCCUUCCCAUCCAAGCCACACAAAUGUAAACAACAUGUCAAAAUCACAUGCUGCCAUUAUAUUUUGAGUAGGAAUACCUUUUCUACCAAUGUAUGGAAUUUGCUCAUCCACAGAAAGCGAGUCAAAAAUAUGAGUCCCAUCAAUAGCUCCGAUAUAAUCUUAAAAUGUAAUAUAUUAAUAUAAGAAACUAAAAUGAUUUACAAAUAUAUUAGUUAUGAAUUUUUAAAAAAUGUAUAAAUUAACUUAAAGUAUGGCCAAUACUUUGGAUUUCGUCGAAUGUAUUGUGGAGUUUCAUUAAAAUUAUCAGGCGCUCUAAUUUCUUCACUAGCUAACUUCAUCAUUGCUUUUAAAAUAUGUUCAAAUUGACGGCUCACAAUCUCACUUGAAUGUUGAACUAUUCGAUUUCCAAGAUUGUGCCCUAAGAUCAUAAAAAUCAUACUUACAGUUUCUUCCAAGUUCACACCUAUAGUAGCUGUUAAACCGUAACUUCUUAAUUAUCACAUAAUUUACAAAAUACAUGUUUUUCCAUCCGAAACAUUUCAUGGCAACGUCGAUCAUUGCCAUUAAGUACCUCCAUAAUAAAUUUUCAUCAUAUAUGAAGAGAAUUUCUACAUGGCUCUUUAACUAAAAAAUUAUUGUGACAGCAUACUGUUGUUCUUACAACAAUUAGGAUAAUUUCAUCAAACAUCUUACAAUUUCUAGCUGCUUGUUCCAAAUAUUGUUCAUUGGUGUCAUCAUUUGAAUCACUUGAUAACAUUCUAUACCAAAUACAAAAUAAAUGAUAAAUAGCCUUAAUCAAGAGAGUUUUCAAAAUGAUUGAUAUCUAAAGAAAAAAUAUCAAACUUGAUUUGCCUUUUUUUUCUUUAAAACAUAAAAAUGAAAUCUAAAAAGAAAAUGACAAAUCUUACAACUUUAGCUUUAAAUUAGACAAAACAAGAGAGCCAACCAAAAAAAAAAAAUAUUCAUCCUCAAAUGAUAACAUAAUAGCAAAGUUGAGUUUAUAAAAAUUGUUACAAAUUUAAAAAAUCCCGAAACAAUACAUUAAUCCGAAGUAACACAAAAACACUAGCACAAACUUAAUUAAAAAAAGAACAAACAUAGAAAUACUAGCACAAAAUAGUUUCUAAAUUUCAAGUGUCAUCUUGUUGAUCAUUCAACCACUCAAUUUAAUACUCUGGCUCACUUAAAGCAACAAAAGUCUCUCUAUUUGCCUUUUAUGUGAGCAAAUGAAUGCCCAACUUGAAUAGAGGAGACAUUGGUUAGCAUCCUGAAAGUGUAGCUAACUUGUCGAGAACCUCUUGAACACUACAACUGAGAGGAUCAAUACGUAUAUAUGAAUCCUUGUUCUUAACUACCUCACAAAGUUCAUCAAGUUGUUUGGUCAACUUAGAUGAAAUAGAUAUUUUCCUGUUAGCUUUCUUUAAUUGCUUCCUUCUUGGUGGAAUCUUUUCCAAAUGGUCACUACAUCAUAUUUCAUCAUGGUUGACUUCUUCAGAAUUUGCACUAUCCACCGGAGCAAUGUCAUCCUCAAUAAAAUUUUCAAAACUAGAAUGAUUGUAUAAAAGAGGUGUUGCACCAGAAGUUGGUGCCCAAGCUCUUGAUCAUGUUGUUGUAACAUCACAAAAUAAUUCAUCUAACAUAAAAGCAUGGUCUAGGCCCUUAAGCCAAAAUUUUGCAGCUUCUGGGUAUUUCUGUUAUUAUAAUUUUAGAAUUAGCAAUAUAAAAAUUUAAUAUAUGAAUUAAACUUAAAAUAACUUGAAUUUAAAUAACCUACUUGUAACUUUGCCUCCCACCAUUCAUUUGUAGCUUCUAUUUUUUGUCUCUCCACAUUCCAACCUAGCCAUGUUUCUCCCCUCACUAAUGCAUCCCAUAUCUACCACUCUUUCUUCACAAUAUCCCAACGGUUCCUAUGUCGCUUUCGAUCAUAAUCUUUAUUGGUUGCCGCUAUGAAAUUUUCUAUAAGAUUUUUCCAACCUUGCUUACUUAAAUGUGUUCCACUUCUAUUACCAGCUCUCACUUACUCCACAGCCAAAUUAAUCCAAAUUUCAUGUGAUUUUCGAUCCCAAAUAACUUUGGAUUUACCUUGGGAGACACCAUCAGUUGCCAUCUAAUUCUAGCUAAGGGUAAUAAAUAUUUAUCAAUAGACAUAUCAACAACACCAAAUCAGAGCAAGAAUAAUAAAAAAUAAAUAAACACAAAAGAAUACAAAAUAAUUUGGCAGUAACUGAUGCCACAACUACCAAUAUCUUUAAAAUAUUAAAUAUCAAUUGUUGUAACUUUAAUUUCAGUUACUUAUUACUGCACAUGCAUGUCAUAUAAUAUGCAGCUCAAACAAUAUUCUUCAUUAUGAACAAUUCAAACUAAUUCGAACUAAAUGCAAUUUCUUACUUUACAUUUUGAAUAAUAACACUUCUAUAUGUCCAAAUGAAUAAAAACUCACGUGAAAUAAACAAAAAAUUUAUAAAUUAACAAUACAAAAUUAAUUAAAUUUAAUUCGGCAACUUAACUUCUACUCUAUAUUCCACCAAUUCGCAAAACAUUAUUCUUUGUUCCAAGUCAACUUUAUAAAUUUAUUUCAAAAAAUAAUUAAAUAAAGCAUAACUGAAUGGACAAAGAAUUAAAGCAUGAGAUUUCCGUAUAUAUAUAUAAAUACACACACAAACUUUUAAAAAAUAAAAAUAAGAUCCAAAUCAAAGCAUGAGAUUACAAAAAAAAAAAAAAAAAAUCUUACUUGAAUGAAGAUUGGUGUGGUGAUUGUGCUCUUUCUGUUGUUGUUGUUUUUUUUUUUUUUUGGUUGAACAAUGAUGAGGUAAAACAAGAAAAAUACCUGAGAAAUAUGAUUUAAGGGUUUGGAUAUGGAUAUGGAUGUAAUAUUUUUUUUGUUCCUUUGUUAAUUUAAGAUUAGUUUAGGAAUUAUGAAAAGUGUAAUAAAUGAGAAUAUAAAUUUUCAAAAGAUCUUUUGGUAAAAAUAAAAAAUCAUGACUUCUCUCAAAAGACCUUUUGGAUAAAAAUAAUGACUUUUGAUUUGACACCCAAAUAAUUUCAAAAGAUAUUUUUUUAAUUAUUUUAAAAAAAAAACUUAAUUAAGCUAACACAAACAUGAACUAUGACGUUGCGAAAAUGAAAAAGAAAAAGCUAAAAGAGAGAUAUGGAGGGACAAGUAAAGGGAGUGAAUUCGAGGAAAGUUCCUAAACAUUGUUGAGUAAUUUAUCUGUCAACUAAUUCUAGCUAAGGGUAAUAGACAUUUAUUAAUAAACAUAUCAACAACACCAAAUCAGAGUAAGAAAACACAAAAGAAUAUAAAACAAUUCAGCAGUAACUGAUGCCACAACUACCAAUAUCUUCAAAAUAUUAAAUAUCAAUUGUUGUAACUUUAAUUUCAGUUACUUGUUAUUGCACAUGCAUGUCAUAUAAUAUGCAGAUCAAACAAUAUUUUUCAUUCUGAACAAUUCGAACUAAAUGCAAUUUCUUACUUUACAUUUUGAAUAAUAACACUUCUAUAUGUCCACAUGAAUAAAAACCCACGUGAAAUAAACAAAAACUUUAUAAAUUAACAAUACAAAAUUAAUUAAAUUUAAUUCGGCAACUUAAGUUCUACUCUAUAUUAUACCAAUUUGCAAAACAUUAUUCUUUGUUCCAAGUCAACUUUAUAAAUUUAUUUCAAAAAAUAAUUAAAUAAAGCAUAACUGAAUGGACAAAGAAUCAAAGCAUGAGAUUUCCGUAUACACACACACACACACUUUAAAAAAUUAAAAAUAAGAUGCAAAUCAAAGUAUGAGAUUAUAAAAAAAAAAAGUUCUUACUUGAAAGAAGAUUGGUGUGGUGAUUGUGCUCUUUCUGUUGUUGUUUUUUUGUUUUUUUGGGUUGAACAAUGAAGAUGUAAAAUAAGAAAAAUACAUGAGAAAUAGGGUUUAAGGGUUUGGAUAUGGAUGUAAUAUUUUUUUUAUUCCUUUGUUAAUUUAAGGUUAGUUUAGAAAUUAUGAAAAAUGUAAUAAAUGAGAAAAUAACUUCUCAAAAGAUCUUUUGAGAAAAAUUAGAAAUCCUGACUUCUCUCAAAAGACCUUUUGGAUUAAAAUAAUGACUUUUGGUUUGACACCCAAAUAGUCUCAAAAGAUAUUUUUUAAUUUUUUUAAAAAAGAACUUAAUUAAGCUAACCCAAACAUCAACUAUGAUGUUGCGAAAAUGAAAAAGAAAAAGCUAAAAGAGAGAGAUGGAGGGACAAGUAAAGGGAGUGAGUUCGAGGAAAGUUCCUAAACAUUGUUGAGUAAUUUAUAUGUCAACUAAUUCCAGCUAAGGGUAAUAGAUAUUUAUCAAUAAACAUAUCAACAACACCAAAUCAGAGUAAGAAAACACAAAAGAAUAUAAAACAAUUCGGCAGUAAUUGAUGCCACAACUACCAACAUCUUCAAACUAUUAAAUAUCAAUUGUUGUAACUUUAAUUUCAGUUACUUGUUAUUGCACAUGCAUGUCAUAUAAUAUGCAGAUCAAACAAUAUUCUUCAUCAUGAACAAUUUGAACUAAAUGCAAUUUCUUACUUUACAUUUUGAAUAAUAACACUUCCAUAUGCCCACAUGAAUAAAAACCCACGUGAAAUAAACAAAAACUUUAUAAAUUAACAAUACAAAAUUAAUUAAAUUUAAUUCUGCAACUUAACUUCUACUCUAUAUUCCACCAAUUCGCAAAACAUUAUUCUUUGUUCCAAGUCAACUUUAUAAAUUUAUUUCAAAAAAUAAUUAAAUAAAGCAUAACUGAAUGGACAAAGAAUUAAAGCAUGAGAUUUCUGUAUACACACACACACACACACACUUUUUAAAAAAAUUAAAAAUAAGAUGCAAAUCAAAGCAUGAGAUUACAAAAAAAAAAUAAUUCUUACUUGAAAGAAAAUUGGUGUGGUGAUUGUGCUCUUUUUGUUGUUUUUUUUUUUUUUUUUUUGGGUUGAACAAUGAAGAGGUAGAACAAGAAAAAUACCUGAGAAAUAGGGUUUAAGGGUUUGGAUAUGGAUGUCAUAUUUUUUUUAUUCCUUUGUUAAUUUAAGGUUAGUUUAGGAAUUAUAAAAAGUGUAAUAAAUGAGAAAAUAUCUUCUCAAAAGAUCUUUUGGAAAAAAAAUUAGAAAUCAUGACUUCUCUCAAAAGACCUUUUUUUUAAUUUUUUUUAAAAAAAGUUUAAUUAAGCUAACCCAAACAUGAACUAUGAUGUUACGAAAAUGAAAAAGAAAAAGCUAAAAGAGAGAGAUGGAUGGACAAGGGAGUGAGUUCGAGGAAAGUUCCUAAACAUUGUUGAGUAAUUUAUCUGUCAACUAAUUCUAGCUAAGGGUAAUAGAUAUUUAUAAAUAGACAUAUCAACAACACCAAAUCAGAGUAAGAAAACACAAAAGAAUAUAAAACAACUCGGCAGUAACUGAUGCCACAACUACCAAUAUCUUCAAAAUAUUAAAUAUCAAUUGUUGUAACUUUAAUUUCAGUUACUUGUUACUACACAUGCAAGUCAUAUAAUAUGCAGAUCAAACAAUAUUCUUCAUUCUGAACAAUUCGAACGAAAUGCAAUUCCUCACUUUACAUCCUAAACAAUAACACUUUUAUAUGCCCACAUGAAUAAAAACUCAUGCGAAAUAAACAAAAACUUUAUAAAUUAACAAUACAAAAUUAAUUAAAUUUAAUUCGGAAACUUAACUUCUACUCCAUAUUCCACCAGUUCGCAAAAUAUUAUUCUUCGUUCUAAGUUAACUUUAUAAAUUUACUUCAAAAAAUUAUUAAAUAAAGCAUAACUGAAUGGACAAAGAAUCAAAGCAUGAGAUUUCCGUAUAUAUACACACACACACACACACACUUUAAAAAAUUAAAAAUAAGAUGCAAAUCAAAGUAUGAGAUUACAAAAAGAAAAUUCUUACUUGAAAGAAGAUUGGUGUGGUGAGUGUGCUCUUUCUAUUGUUGUUUUUUUUUUUUUUUUUGGGUUGAACAAUGAAGAGGUCAAACAAGAAAAAUACACAAGAAAUAGGGUUUAAGGGUUUGGAUAUGGAUGUAAUAUCUUUUUUGUUCCUUUGUUAAUUUAAGGUUAGUUUAUGAAUUAUAAAAAGUGUAAUAAAUGAGAAAAUAACUUCUCAAAAGGUUUUUUGAGAAAAUCUAAAAAUCUUAACUUCUCCUAAAAGACCUUUUGAAUAAAAAAAAUAACUUUAGGUUUGACACUCAAAUAUUUUCAAAAGAUCUUUUUUAAUUUUAAAAAUAAAUUUAAUUAAGUUAACCCAAACAGGCACGUGAAAAUGAAAAAAGAAAAAGUUAAAAGAGAAAGGGAGGGACAAGUAAAGGGAGUGAGUUCGGGGAAAGUUCCUAAACAUUGUUGAGUAAUUUAUCUGUCAACUAAUUUUAGCUAAGGGUAAUAGAUAUUUAUCAAUAGACAUAUCAACAACACCAAAUCAGAGUAAGAAAACACAAAAGAAUAUAAAAAAACUCGGCAGUAACUGAUGCCACAAAUACUAAUAUCUUCAAAAUAUUAAAUAUCAAUUGUUGUAACUUUAAUUUCAGUUACUUGUUACUGCACAUGCAAGUCAUAUAAUAUGCAGAUCAAACAAUAUUCUUCAUUAUGAACAAUUCGAAUGAAAUGCAAUUCCUCACUUUACAUCCUAAACAAUAACACUUUUAUAUGCCCACAUGAAUAAAAACUCAUGCGAAAUAAACAAAAACUUUAUAAAUUAACAAUACAAAAUUAAUUAAAUUUAAUUCGGAAACUUAACUUCUACUCUAUAUUCCACCAGUUCGCAAAAUAUAAUUCUUCGUUCUAAGUCAACUUUAUAAAUUUACUUCAAAAAAUUAUUAAAUAAAGUAUAACUGAAUGGACAAAGAAUCAAAGCAUGAGAUUUCCGUAUAUAUAUAUAUACACACACUUUAAAAAAUUAAAAAUAAGUGCAAAUCAAAGCAUGAGAUUACAAAAAAAAAAAUUUUACUUGAAAGAAGAUUGGUGUGGUGAGUGUGCUCUUUCUAUUGUUGUUUUUUUUUUUUGGGUUGAACAAUGAAGAGAUAAAACAAGAAAAAUACACAAGAAAUAGGGUUUAAGGGUUUGGAUAUGGAUGUAAUAUUUUUUUCGUUCCUUUGUUAAUUUAAGGUUAGUUUAUGAAUUAUAAAAAGUGUAAUAAAUGAGAAAAUAACUUCUCAAAAGGUUUUUUGAGAAAAUCUAAAAAUCUUAACUUCUCCUAAAAGACCUUUUGAAUAAAAAAAAUAACUUUGGGUUUGACACUCAAAUAUUUCCAAAAGAUCUUUUUUAAUUUUAAAAAUAAAUUUAAUUAAGUUAACCCAAACAGACACGUGAAAAUGAAAAAGAAAAAGCUAAAAGAGAGAGGGAGGGACAAGUAAAGGGAGUGAGUUCGGAGAAAGUUACUAAACAUUGUCGAGGAAUUUGUCUGUCAGCUACGCAAUUUAAACAUUGACAAAUCACAAAUUCAAUGGUUCUAUGUAAGAGCGAUGAUCUGGUACACCCAAUCAUACGCGAUGAUAAAUUAUUAUUUAAUGGAACUGUAUUGUAAAUUCCACCAAUAAUAAUCUGAUACUCGUAUAAUUAUUUAUCAUAAGGUGUGGAACUGCACGUGCUAGAUCACCGCUCUCUAUGCAAAGUCAAAUUAUUUGUAAUCAUAUUUGAUCACACACGUGAAUCUUGACGGUAGUUGGACUGCACUGACACGCACCUGAGUCGCACCGAAGCACUUUGAUUUUUAACCAUAAAAUAUGUUGACCCAUUUGUUGCCCCCACGUUUUGGUCUCGUCUUCCAGGAAUGAUCGCAGCUCCGAACAACCACCCACCUUUUGCCUGUGACUACCCGCCACGCGCGAGUUCACUUAUUCGCCAAUCGCCAAGCAAAACCACAUCUUCUCCCCUGACCCACCCCACCUCAUCAAAACCAUUCGGUUUGGCGAGUAGUGUUUGUGUCAAAAUUUAAACUAAUUCCAACGCAUCUCAUUUUAUUAAUCACGACAAAGAAUGUAAUUUUUAAGUUAAUUUAUUUAUUAUCACAUCACUUAAUGAACAAAAUUUAAAUAUAAAUAAAAAACUAAUUUCUUCAAAAAUAUGACAUGUCUAUGAAUAAAAUAUAACAGUAUUAUAAAGGAACUAUUGUGUCAAAAAUUUUAAACCUAAAAUGAACACGAUUAUUAAUUAAAUUGAUAUAGACACCCAUCAUUUAAUAGCGUACGUCUUGCUGACCGGCACCCAAUGACGUCAGGACCAUAGGACACCAACUCCAACACAAAUCCAACGGCUGAAAUGACACAGCAUUACAAAAAUCAAAAGUCUCCCAAUACUUGCCUAAUACUUACCCACCAACCGGUCCCCCACACAAAACGACCAGUAUAUAUACAUACACAGAGACAUGCAGUGCAAGAACAUCAUUCGUUUAAGCGAGCUAGCAUUAGCAUUAGCAUUAGCAUUUAGCAAAGCGGAAGCAUCGUCUCUGUGGAGUCAAAAUUAAAAAAAAUAAAAAUAAAUAAAUAAAUAGAUAAAUAGAAGUUGACGCCACUAUCGUUUGUAUGGAAGGAGAGAGGAGGAAAAGGAGCGGCGAUAAAGAGAAGAGGAACGAAGAGAGAGAGAAGAGGAAUAAGGUGAGGCAGGAGGAGGCGACGGAGGAGGAGGUGGAGGAGUUCUUUACGAUACUGAGGAGGAUGCAGGAGGCCGUGAGGUACUUCGGCGAGGGGUGGAGGGAGGCGGUGGAGGCGACGACGGCGGUGAUCGACAAUGAUGAUGAUAUGAACGAUGAAGAAGAAGAGGAGAUUGGGAUGAUCCAGAAAAAAGAAGAAAUUAAUAAUAAUAAUAAUAACAAUAACAAUAACAAUAAUAAUGGUGUUUUGGAUUUGAACACAGAACCAGCUCCACCUUCAGCUGAGGAAUGAGAGUGACAGCUGUGCAUGUUGCCGAUUCUUAGCUUUGCUCUGGCCUCUGGUUCUCAAUUAUUUUUUUAUAAAUUUGAUUUUUAUUUUUGUUUUUGUUUUUAAAAAGCUGGCUACGUGGAAACUUUUUUUACUGGUUAAGAUGCUCACUCUGUUAUCGCAAGCCGGCGAUCUGAGUUCUGAUUCUGUAACUUGGAACUGACAGUGUUCCGGUCUGAGAAAGUUAAUUAAAAGCUUCUUUUUUUUUUAAUUAUCAUUAAUAUACCUUUAGCUUACUCUUAUUUUAUCUGUUAAAAAAAAAAAAUUACUAUAAUACUUUUAGAAUGUAUCAAUCGUUAAUUUUAAGUUGAUAAAAUAUAUAUGUUGUCUACUAAAUCGUUAUUUACCGUUUAAAUAUGAUGACAUCAUAGAGAUAAUUUGAUUUUUUCAAAUAAUACAAAUGAUAAUUUAAGGGCAUACAAGCGAUAAUAAAAAAAUUUAAGGGUAUAUAAAUAAUAAUUUAAGAAUAUAUAAGUAAUAAUAAAAUAAUUUAAAAAUAUACAAGUGAUAAUUUUUUUUUACUUUAAUUUAAGUUUUAACGGUAAAAAUAUUAAUUCGUUAUAAUUUUAUUAACUUUUAAAUAGUAGUUAAUGGUUUAUAGUCGGUACAUAAUUUUUAUCAAUUUAGUUAUUUAAGGUGGGUGAUUAAUACACCCUAAAAAUAUUAUAAUAUUUUUUUAUAAUAAAAUAAAUAUAAGGUAUACGAAUGAUAAUUACUUUUUUUUAAUGAUUUUCUUUUCAUAAAAUUGUCUAAAAUUAGGAUUAAUAUUUAAAUUUAAUAUUUUAGACAUGAAUUCCGCUAAUAGUAUGUGGUACUAAACAUAUAAUCGAUAAUUGAGAAGGGCUCAAUUGGCAAUCAUCGACUCAGGAGCAUCUACUUUAAAAUGCGUCUCCUUUAAAAUGUCUGUUUUUGACAGCUGAAUCAAGGAAAAACAACAAGCGGACUCUUUUUAUAUAAUAAAAAACCUUUAAUUUGGGUUUUUUUUUAUCAUAACAUUCUUUUGUAGUUUUUUUUUUUUUACUAUGUACCAGAAACCAUAAUUUCGGGAUUUUAUUUUCCAUAUUUGUGAUGUUAUAAUAGCCAUGAUACUUGUCAUAUCUAGAUGAAAUAAUGGCAAUAAUUUUGGCUCAUUAUUGACCGAAGUGAGAAGUUUCAAGAUCAUAUUUUUGGGAUCUAAAGUGAGCUUUGCUUAUCAAGUAAGAAUCGCAAUCUUUAUUUAAUAAAAUUUUUUUUGGGGGGGGCAGAAGCUAUUUGAACUCAUCAUUUUUUUUUCCUGUACACUCUCUUUUUAGUUGAGCAUUUAUUGUUAAAAUAUUUUUUCAUAAAAUUACUUAGUGAACUAUUUCUUAUCUUUUCAUUCUUAAUUCCUCAAUUCUAAUUAAUUCCUUUAUAUAUUUUCUUUUAACUACAGACUAUAAAUAAUUGAUUUUGUUAUAAGAUAUCAUAAACAAAAAAAAAUCAAAAUUCAUCAUUCAAAAAUGAAUACCACUAAAUUGUUUCAGCUAUAAAAGUUAAUAAAUUUUAAGAAAUUAAUUUUUACUAACCACAAAAGUUAGUGAAUAAAAAAAAAUAAUUCUUAUAUAUAAAAAAUGUGAAAUAGAGAUUAUGAUUUACUAAAAAAGAAAAAAAAAACCCAAAAGAGAGUAAAACUAAGAGUUUAGUUUAGAGAAUGUGAAAGUAGAGAGAGACUAUGUAAUUCUAAGGUGAGACAAAAAGAGAAAGAGAAUAGUAAAGGAUAAUUUUGAGAUUUUAAAAUUUUGAUAAUAAAUUUAUUUUUUAAAAUAGAUGUAGAGAUAAAUUUAUUAGGUUCAAAUAACUCCAUUCUUUCUAUUAUUAGUAUAUCGUGUAAUCAAAUUACUUGUAAGGCCAUAAUAACUAAAAUAUAGAUUUACGUAUAUUAUAUUUUAUUCAUGAAUGGGGCUAUUUGCAUGAUUGCAUCUUAAAAAAUAUUUUAAACAACUAUAUUUAUGUAAAUUUUAUAUUACAAAAAUAACCACAAACAUUAUUUAUUAUUAAGUACAUUUUAACAUAAAUGAAUAUAACAGACCCACGAAAUGAAAUUACUCCUCGGGUAUUCACAAGACAAGUUUAACAUGUAAAGAAAUACUAAAUCAUACUAAUCCAAUUUUCUUUAAAAGCCAGUCAAAAUUGCACAUUGAAGGAGCCUUAUGUAAUAUCGAGUAUCAAACCCCAUUUUUUUUUUAAAAAUUCAGUCAAAAUUUCACUAAAGGCCAAAAAUUGUUAUAAAGGACCAAAAAAAGGUCAAAACUUACUAUUUUGAAAUUGCUUAAUUGUUUUUAGACUUUGAAAGGAAAAAAAAAAAACUUAUUUGUGUUUUUUUUUCUCUCUCUCUAUAUGUAUACAGUCCUUCUCUAGUGAAGACAUCCUCACUUUGUUAAUGUGAAGAUACCAGUAAAAUAAAAUAAAAAAAAUACAUAUUUUAAUAUGUUAGAGAUAAUAUAUUGGCUGAGAUUAAAAAAUAAUUACAUUACAAAAUAUUAAAAAUAGAAAAUAAAUAGAAAAUAAUUAGUAGAUUACAAAAGAUUACAUGUCUCUUCCUCUUUCUAUUUAAAUUCAACAAUAUGUAACCAUUAAUAAUAAUUAAUUAUAAGUCUUGAAACAUUCAUUUAUUUUAUUGAGCCAACAAUUAAAUUUUAGUGGAUUAAAAUACAUCAACUAAUUAAUAUAGAAAGGAAGGUUCCUUCAUCUUCCCUUACCAAUGCCACUAGAGCCUAUGUUUAAUAUCAUAAUCUCAUAUUAAACAUUAAGUAUUUAAGAUUUGUUAUGUUUGGGUUUUCUUUUAUUAUUUAACCAACAUCCUAUUUAGAAAUAUUCUUGUAUUUUAUUUUUUGACUUAUUUGAAUUUUUAGUAUUGUGUGCUUCAUGGAAUAUUUUUUUCUUCGUGAGUUGAACAAUGAUAAAGAUAGUUGGAUGAUAAGAGUUAAGUUUUGUAGGAUAUGAGAGUUUGUUAACACCAAGAAAAAUGAAGAAUUGAUUAGUAUGAACAUAAUUUUUAUUGAUGAAAAGGUUGUAUAAAAAAAAAUUUCUCCCAUUGUUUUCUCUAAUUUUUUUUCCCAAUUGUUUUACACUUAAUGCAGGAUUUUUUUUUUCGUAGGAAAAUCUAAUGCAUGCAACAAUUAGAAAAAAUUUAGUGACAAGAAUUAGGCACAUGUUGAGUGGGGAUUUUUUGUACAAUGUCAAGAAUUUGAAAGUUGCUUCAACUACAGGCGAGUACGAACCACUUUCAAAUUAGUAUAAGAUUAUUUUCUUGGUUACAACUUCGCUUAAGAGGUUAGAAGAAGGAACUGUUAAGAUUCCAAUCAAUAGAUUCUAAUUCGUAUCUCCAAAUUUGAUUAAUUUACAUGGGAAUGAUAAUACAAUCCUCUCAGGUAUUUAUUUUAAUUAUCAGUGUUUGUUAAUCUUUAAGUAUAUAUUAGAAAUUAUUGAUUCUUAUGUUUUAAUAUGUUUAUGUUAUUUUUCCAUGAUAUUACAAAUGUUGUCGGAAGUUUAUGUGGUGUGAGUGAUAUUGAAAUUGUUGGAGCUGGUUGGAAAAAAAGAGAUAUAAAAGUUCUAACAUAUUAGUAAGUUAAAUAUAAUCAAGAAAACUAUGACUAUAUAUAUUUUUAGUUCUUUUAUAAACAAUUGCUCACCUACUCAGCUACAAACGAUGCAAAGUAACUUACAAAAGCUUUUACAUGUAUUUUAUUUAUUCUUUUUAUAAUUCAAUGCAUUGCUAAGGAUCCUCAGUUACAAAAUUUAAUUUGGAACUUAUCAACAACUACAAAAGGUAUAAGGUCUGUACACUCAGACUAUACACAUUAAUAUAUAUUUUUAAAGUUAACAAAAAAAAUAGUUAACUUUCAUAAAUAACAUUAGUUUUAUAAAACUACCUCAUUUUAAAAAAAUAACCCAAUUUAUAUUUUUUUAUUAGUUUCAUCAAGUGCAAAAUAAGAAAAAAUGAUAAUAUUAAUUUUUUUUAAAUCGCACGAAGUGCGGUUCUAUUUCCUUAUUUAUGUAUAUAAUUAUGAACUCCCAAAUAAUUUUCUUUCCCAUUUUGUUAUUAGGGGAUAAUGGAAGCUCCAAAGAGUGCACCGUAAAUUCCGUUAAUGGGAGCAAAAAUCAACUUUCUCAUUGUGCUUUCACCUAAAUGGACUUUUAAGGACAUCUUACAAAUCACAUAAUAAAAAUACUAAACCUUUGUUAAUUAUCGUCCAAUGAUUUACAAGUUGUACUCAUAGUGAAUUAAAUGAGUGUCCAUAACACAGAUAUUUGUUAUCGGUAACAAAAAUUUGGUGACUGUUAAUUGUUACGUACAUCUAUUAUGAAGUGGUCCCCUCUCCUUACAUAUGAAACCUACACAUGUCACACUUAUUUUUAUUUUGCAUUGAUGAGAGAAAAAAAAGGGGGAAAAAAAAAAAAGAACCCAAUCGCCCCUCCAGAGAUUAUUCUUACAUACUAUAUAGUUCAUCAAAUUGAAAUUUGGUGAAUCAAACAACAAGGACAUUCAAGGGGCGUUUGAAAUUGAGAUUGGACAGUUAUAAUUUAAAAGUUACAGUACUAAACACUAGUUGAAGUUAGUGGGGGAUUUAAAAAAAUAAUUUACCGAGGGCUAGAUUACAUAUUAGUAAAAUUUUAAAACUAAAACUUUGAAUAUAUAAAAUACUUGUUAAUACAUUUAUAAUUGUUCUCGACGUAUUUUCAAGAAUAGAAAAAUGUUUGUGGUGAAGACCUAUCAUUACUUUUAAUUAUAUAGUGUAGGCUUUUAUAAUUCUAAAAGUUAAAGUUUAAAUUUUGUGAAUUUAUAAAUUUUUAGGGUCAAUUUUAAUAGAUUUAAUGGGGCUAAUUAGAAAUCUUAAAUAUUUUUUCUUUUAUUCUUAGAAUUGUUUUUAGUCGGUAGGGGCGACAGCCCCCACUGGUCACAUGCUGCAUCUGCCGCUGGUUGCGCUAGCUUGGAAGAUAUGUUGAUAUGGUUUUUCACUUGUAUAAUGAAAAAUCUAUUAUAUCCUUAAGAAUCUUGUCAAAAUUAUUAUUUAAAAUUUAUAUUUACUGCAAAUUAUUAUUUUUUAUUUAAUAAUUACAAUUUUUUUUCCACAACAGUUAUAACUUAAAAAUUAUAUCACCUCAAUCCCAAAUAUGAUCUCACUGUGGAAAAAAAAUAAAUCUGUAUUCUUCAAAGGAUUCCAUAAGCUUAAUAACUUCAUUAAUUAAAGAGUUCUUUUUUUCUCUUUUUCCAUCUCCCGUUAUCAUGCCUCCAUUCCUUUCAAAGAUUCGUAUCUAUAUCUUAUUGUAUUACAAAUUGAUAGUGGAAUCAAUGUCCACCAUUUGUAGAGAUAAUUGUGUCAUAUAUCGAUAUGGGUAUAAACAAUCAUAUUCCCAGACUACUCCUACAACACUACAUAUAUUAUGCUUUUUAGUGACAUGUGACGUUAAAUAAGUUCGUAAUGUGUGAUAGAUAUCAUAUAUUCAAUUAUAUAUUACUUUAAUCGAUGAUAAAAUAUAAUAAAAUUGAAAUUAAAUAUAAUCAUUCUAUAAUUAUCCCAUCUUUAAAGACAUCAGUGUUGUAUAUGUGAUAUGAUUUUAUUAUUUGAAUAAUGAGAGAAUAUGUAGAAUAAUUAUACACAUGACAUUAAAUUAUUGAUGACAUAUAAGCGACUGUCCCAAUAUAUAUAUGAUAGGGUUCUCCAAACUAAAUUUUUUUAAUAUAAAAUUAUAACUUAAUUUUUCAUCUACUUAAUUCAUUUAAUUAAUCUAAUGGUAUAAAUGUAAAGUGAAUAAGUAAUAUGAACAUAAUGGACAUGCAUUUUUUUCGAUUGCUUUUUUCUUUAAACCAAUUGGCCGAGUGAGCUGAUGAGCUGCAGCUUUUUAUGUCCAAUAUUUUGGGGAAAUUUACACCAAUAGCCAUAACAAUUUUAGCUUUUUCUAUUUUAACCCCCCAAGUAAAUUUCUAUCAACAUUAGUCAUAAAAGACCCUUUUAGACUAAAAUACCCCUCUCUCUCAUCUCUCCCUCAACACUCUCUUUCAGCCAUCUCUCCCAAACCAAACAAACUCCCAUCAUCGGCGGUGGCUUCAUCCCUCGUCGGCGGCGGCUUCAUCCCUCUUCGGCGUCCGAUCUACCAUCUACAGUCUUCAACAAAAUCUAGGUUAGCUAUUUUUUUUUUAUUUUCAUUAAUUUAAAAUGAAAUUUUAGAAUAAUAAUGAUGGUGGUGGUGGUGGUGGUGGUGAUUGUGGUGGUUGUUGUUGUUUUGAGAGUGUUUCUUUCUCAAUUUGGGAGUGUUUCUUAAGGAGGGAAUCGCAACCCAGCGAAGGGCGCUAAAGCGCGCGCCGCUCGCCCAAGCGACGAGCGCUAGCUCAUGCCCAUCGCUGGGCAGCAGUGCGUGCACGCGCCCGUUGCUGGGCGCGCCGCUCGCCCAAGCGACGGGCGCUAGCUCGUGCCCAUCGCUGGGCAGCAGCGCGCGCGCAAAUGGGUGCUGUCGCACUAAUUUGGUGCGACAGGCUCGACUGUCGCACAAUUUUUUUGUGCGAAUUACAGUGGCUUUAUAAUUUUUUUUUUGUCAAGUCAAUUUAUUUUAUUUUUGUUGUAAAUGCAAUGUAAUAAUGUUAUAAAUAUUACAGAUACAUGGCGAAAUCAGAAUCGUCUGAUAUUGAAGUAGGCAGGAUGUAUUUUCGUUAUGCCGAUCACUUUCCGGGUCGAAUUUCGAGCAUGUGUAAUUUAUCUUUGGUCGUAAAAGCCAUCGAUGAAAAAUUAACAAAGCGGCAGUUGAAUAUGUUCAAGAAGGAUAUAUUUGGGCAUUUCUUAGAGUGUCGAAGUUUUCCAUUUAGUGGGGUAAUUUUGCACAAUCUUUUACUAAGGCAAGUGGCCCAUGAAGAAGAUAGUCGUGAGGAUCAGUUAUGGUUUCAAAUUGGUGAACAUUUGAUUCGCUUGUCAAUUGUAGAAUGGUGCCUGGUUACUGGACUUUCAUAUGGUGUUGAUACCGAACUAAGAGAUGACAAAAAAGUGGAUAGGCUACGGAAAACGUAUUUUGGUGGUGCUCGCAAGAUCAAUGUUAAGGAAUUCGAUGCAUUAUUUAAGGAGUUGAAAUUCGAGGAAAUGGACGAUAUGGACGCAUUAAAGAUUGCGCUAUUUUAUUUUGCGGACAGAGUACUAAAUGUAAGAAAAAAUCACUGUCAAAUCAAUUUCGAUUGGCUUAACGAAGUUGAUGAUAUACAGUACUUCCGAAACCAUCCAUGGGGUCUUGUGUCGUGGGAAAUGAUAUACGAUAGUCUUGACAAUGCACUGUUCGAGAAAGACGAUAAAUUUAAGACAACUCGGUUGAAAAACCCAGAUCAUAACAUUGAAAAGUACAAUCUUUACGGCUUUACGUCCGGGGUUCAGGUGCGUUGUUUUUUUGUUUAUUAAUAAGUUUUAUAGUAUUAAAUAUUUGAUAGAUGUGUUAAUAGGUUUUUCACUUUGGUUGUUGCAGGUUUGGAUUUACGAAGCGAUCGGAGGUUUGCCGUCAACAUGGGUCGUGAAAACGAAGAACAAGAUUCCCCGCAUCGUGCAAUGGAAGCCCAUGGUGUCUUCGAGAAUCAACUUUGCUGAGGUUUAUUCGUUCUUCAACGAAGAAUCUCGUAUUGUAAGUAAUAUGUAUUAGUUAUUUUUUUAACUUUACUAAAUUUAAGUUAUGUAUACUUAAAAUUUUCAAUUGAAUUUAUGGCAGGAGGACGUUUUACAAACUCUUAAGCCAAAUUCAAAGGAGAGUAGUAGAAAAUAUUGGCUCACUGUGAAGGAUUACAUGCCAAGCAUUCUAGACUGGGUUCAUAAGGUCGGUUAUAAAUCUAAGUACUAUAAAUUAAAUUUAAUCAAAAUUUUAGACUUUUCAUUUAAUAAUUUUAAAUGAUACUUUAUACAACACCAACCCUCAAUCAAUGCGAUGCCGUCGGUUUCAAGGCAAUCAGACAAGCAUGACGACAUACCAAACCCAACACCAGAGCAGCGUCAUGACACUUCUGAGGAUGAGGUGGCUGUUGAUGACCACCAGGAGCAGACACAUGCCGACUCUGAUGACACACAUGAUUCUGAGGUUAUAAAUAAUAUACGAUAUUCUUCUUUUAUUAAUCAUUAUUGUUUUACUGUUAUUCUAAAGUUUUACUUAUUUUCUUUUGUAAUAGUCGAGGACAAAACAGUUUAAUGAUUACGUGCGACGACAGGAGGAUAAGAUUGAUCGUAACGUGUAUGAAUUGAAGUCAGAAUUAAAAGAUUUUAAAGAAACCGUGGUUGGCUUUAUCGACAUCUUUUCUACACGUCCAAAUAAGGAUUCUCCCACAGGACGCUCGUAUGCGGUGAGCAUAAUUAAAUUUAAUAAUUAUGUUCCUUUAACUUUUAAUUUAAUAGUUGUUUAAUAUGUUCAUCUUGGCGAAUGGACAGGCCCCGGAUGACUAUGGAAUGUAUACUGACGUGGGCAAUCAAAUUUUGUCUACGCCCACGUCAUUGUAUAGUUUCUACGGGGAUGUUAGUGGGGAGAGCGUGCAGGUGUUCACUAAGGUGCCUCCGAGCAUUAGUAAGUUCUGCCGCGCGUACAUACCGUCGUAUGUUUAUAACAGUCCUUACAUGAUUCCUCCAGUCAGGCGAGGACAGAACGUUCGGCCUUUACCUCGACCCCAAAUCAUGGAGCAUACGAUUGACAUGAGUACGAGUGUGGAUAUAAAUCCACUGAAAGGAUUGGACGACUCUAGUCUGUUUGCUGAGUUUGAUCGAUGGUUCGCUGGUGAUAUCACAGUGGAUCGGAGAGUCCAGCACCCGCAAUCAUUCUUGCAAAUAAUUAUGGGUACAGCUUCGAUGGAAUGGCUAGGCGAUGAGGUAUUUAUAUUUUCGAAGUUUUUUGAGUGUUGUGGAUUUGUGUAUAAUUUUUUUCUUUUAAAUCGUAAUGUUUCUAUUUCUCUACAGCAUAUUCACGAGUAUUUCCGCUUGAUUAGCGAGAAACAACGGCAGUAUCCGAAUGCCUUAGUUCAACGUGUCACACAUACUGACACAUUUUUUUGGGUAAUGUGCCAACAAAACUUAUAAAUACUAUUUAUGUUUUUUUUUUUAAUUAUUGCCUUUAAGUUUUGUUAAUUUAUGCAUUUCUUGGUUAUUUAUGUACUAGGUGUUCUUGAAUCAGUUAUGGAACAACGAGGAUUGUGCGGUCGAUUCAUUAGUAUUCGACAACCGCUUGAAUAGUUAUCUUUGUGGGCGAGAGCACACAAUGUCCAAAUCAAUGACGGAUGUCGAUAUGGUAUGUAUUUUAUUGCAUUUCACAUACUCCAUAAUGAAAAUAUCCAAGUUGUUGCUUUUUCUUGGUUGUAUUUCAAUUUCAUCUAUAACGAACAUGUUUUUAAAUUUUUAUAUACAGUUACUCAUCCCUGUUAACUUGGACGGCGCGCAUUGGGUACUAGUACGAGUUGACUUUUAGAAAAACAAAGUCUGGAUUUAUGACUCAUUACUCACAUUUCGCGACGACAAAAGGUACAAGUUGAAAUUCAAGCCACUUGAAGUUAUAUUCCCUCGAUGGUUGGAAUAUGUUGGCUUCUACAACAUCCGACCUGAGUUGCGGAGUGCAGACCCCUGGAAACUUAUCGCAGUUAAGAGUGCGCCACAACAAGAGCUCGGAACUGGCGAUUGCGGUGUUUUUGUAUUGAUGGUUACGAUGUAUUUAAUGUUCGGGCUUAGAUUAGAGUUUAACGCUAGUCAUGUCGAGUACUUUAGAAAGAAGAUUGCGGUUGACAUAUUUAAUGACGAUAUUGUAUUGUAAACUGUUAUAGUAAUUUGAAUGUUGAAACUUGAAUUUUUAUUUUAAUUUGCGCACUUAAGUUUAUAUAAUUUUAAUGCUCACAUUUUAAUAUUUAAAAUAAUAAAAAGUUUUAUGACAUAUAAUGGUACAAUACACAAAAAACAAUAACAGUUUUAACCAACGAAACACAAAAAACAAUAACAGUUUUAACCUUCCUGCUCAUUGAAAUAAUACAACUAACUUCGAGUCGAUGCAAUGAGAUUCUUACAUCGCUUACUAUUAUGGCUCAGUUCAUGACACCGCCCACAUCUUACAGUCCGCCGGUUAACGUUCUCGCCAGCCGAGGGUAUUCUGAGCUCUUUACGACGGCCAGGUGGUGGUGCCUCAACUGGUGGGUAUACUUGCAUCUCCUGAAUUUCAUCUGGAACAUCCCAAUCAGCCACAUCACCAACUGGCUCCACUAGUUGUGCAUAAGCCAUCACCAACGAUUCUGUAGUGUAAAAGUCCGAGCAAAGGUUAAUAAAAUCCACCCGGUGUGUUAGACACACCGCAAUUGCAUGAGCACAUACAAGCUGAUCAAGCUGAAACACUCUGCAGGAGCAAGUUUUUUUUUGCAAGUCAACCAAACCUUCCUUAAGCCCACCACCUAUAACUUGAAAUCGAUGCGGAGACACCGGCCGAACUAUCAUUCUUUCAGCUAUAGUUCUCCUCUCAGUGACUAUUUUCAUCCGCCCAUGUUGUUAGCCGAGUAGUCAUUGAUUCAGCCAUAAUUUUUCUAUCAUAAAACUAUUACUGCAAUGUUUUCCUAAAGUGAUCAACAAGAUGAGUAACAGGAAAUUUUCGAGGUUCCCUCAUGAAAGAAUUAACACUCUCCGCGAUGUUGGUGGUAAGUAUGUUGUACCUCCUACCUUCAAACUGAGACCUUGCCCAAUUACACGUACCGACAUUAUUUUCUAGGUAAUCAGCUGCACCCGAGUGAAUCAUCCACAACCCUUCAAGUUGUCUCUUAAAUUCCUCGUGGCCAUAUGCUUUUGCUGCAUUAAUAAAGGCAGGCUCAAAUUCAUCCUAACGAGCUUUGGACAUUCUAAACUGUGACUUAAUGUUACAUUUGACGUGGUAAAAACAAACGCCAUGAGUUGCAUUGUGAAAUACUUUGAGAACGACUCUCCUUAUGGCAGUGCAUCGAUCAGAGAUAAUUACCAACUCAUGUCUAUCGCCAAUCACUCCGUGUAACUUCAUCAUAAACCAUUCCCAAGCAUCAUUAUUUUUUGAAUCCAUGAUCCUAAUGGCUAGCGGAUACAAUUGAUUGUUACCAUCAAGACAUGUUGCCACGAACAUGCUUCCACGAUAUAGCCCCUUCAGAUGAGUACCAUCUACAGCAAUGACAGGCCGAAUGUACUGCAUAAAACCCUUAAUGGAAGAUCCGAGUGCUACAAAAUAGUACAAGAAAUUAUCAUCUCCAUCCUGCUCGAGGUGAGUGACUGUACCCUCAUUCACUGUAGUUAGUACGUGAGAGUAUUUAGGGAGCAAGUUGUAUGACUCCACAGGGUUGCCUCGAACUAUUUCAAGACCAACUUCUCUCGCCCGAUAUGCCUGCUGGUAUGUUAACUGAACACCGUAUUCCUGUUGCAUAUCUGCUUUUAUGUCAUUCGGAGUAUAAAUUCUCUUGUCUUGAAUAUAUUUUUCUGCGAUAAUAUGACCGACAACCCGGCUCCUUACUUGAUGACGUCCAUCAACCAAUACCUCAUUAUGACAAGUGUGUACAUUAUCAAUUCUUCGCACCACCCAAGGAACAUUUUGCUCGUUUGAACUUCUAGUUGCUCGAAUACGUCAUUUACAUGAUUCCGAACAACAAUGAGCCUCGAAACGUGUCGUUGUAGACCGUGCAAUCUUAAAAUCAAACUUAUCCCUAAAGGCAACCUUGCGUAGUUGUAAUAUAAACUCAUUCUUCUCAGCAAAUAUAUAGUUUACCCACACUGAUAUCAUCUAAGUCACAACUGCUAACAAAGCUUAGAGCAACCAUGUUCGAAGGCAAAGUUGGAGCAAGACUUGUGAGGGGGUCAAUUCUCCUUCUCGAUCGAACCAUAGAAGGAAUAGGUCUAUUGCCUCUGUUAUUCACAGGAGUAUUGUCUUCACACUCAUCCUCAUGCUAAAACGACGGAACAUUCGAAGGACCGGCUCCUCCAUCAUCACCAUCAUUACUGAAAUGAGUGCCCCUCAUAUUAUUAGAAGGUUCUGCACAAACAUUAUCCCCCUCUGUCUCAUCAUGAAAAUCAUCAUUAUCUCGAAAAUCAUUGUUGUGAUACGGAGAAUAUCGUUGCUCCAACGACGUCGUUAUUGGAAAUACCGUUGCUCUAACAUCUGUAACGUAACGCCGUUAUCAUCAAUGUUGUCAUAAUUAUCGUGGAUUGGAGAGUAAUAUUGCUGCAGCGAUAUUGUCCUUGACAACACCUCAUCUUCAUUAUCGGGGCCAGACAUAUUUGCUCUAAACGAAGUUUCUGUAUCGACAUGUGGCUCAAUACCUUCGCUCGGAACUCGAGGUGAUGUGGUCACGAAUAUAGGAAUGCAUCCAAAAUUGGCUACGUCGGAUGCCAUAUGUAACACAACCCUCACCAUUUCAUCAUCAAAUAUAUCUAUGGGCAGUGCACAUACACGAUAUAAUGUGUUACUAGACCUCAAAGUUGUCUUAAUUGUGAUACUAUAUUCAUUAGGGUUAAUUUGUAACACAUCGUAUACUCUUGUCAAUAACUGAUCAAACAAACAAUUUUUCCCAACAAAAAAAAGCUCUAUUUUUACUAUUGACAUACUCCAUACACCCAUCCUCUAAUAUCUCCCACCAACCAUCGUAACACAAUUCAAGUACAACUGAAUCCAUUAAGCCUGAAAUUAUAAAAAAAUAAAUUAUUUGAACCUAAUCAAAUUAAUAGUUAAUUGUAAUGAAUGUGGCUUUUUGUGCGACAGGCUGACUGUCGCAUGAAACUUAGUGCGACAGGUUGCCUGUCGCUCCAAGUUUUCAUGCGACAGGCUACAUGUCGCCAAAUUCACCCAUGAAACCAUGAUUCGCAGUUCACUCAAACUCUCGAGCAAGUUUAGAAAAUAACUCAUACCACUAUGUGAUGCCGAUUACUAUUGGAUCUGGAUAAAUUAUAAUCAGAUUUCACUUUUUAUCGUUGCCUUUUGCUGUUGCCGUUGGUUGAUGAUUCAAGAGUGGGAAGCUGCCUUUGGUUUGACGAAAAGGGAGAAAGAAAGUUACUUUUGGUUUGUAAAGAAGGGUAAUUUGAGGAGAAAAACGUGUGUUUGGCUAAUGUUGAUAGAAAAAAAUUGAGAGAGUUAAUUGUAAAAAUAACAAAAAUUUUAUAAUUAUUUUUAUAAAUUUCCCAUUAUAAAUGGACCACGAGUCAUAAUUACAUGUACAAACUCCAAUAUCAGAGAAUGAAGAUAAAAUAUAUACCAAAUGAUAAGAAAAAUUCUGUGGCAUUUGGAGCAGUACGAUAUUCUCAUCACAGGAUGAAUCAUCAUGAGAAUUGAGAAAUGGUCAUCAAAUUCUUCAUUAUAAAAGACUCUGUUCGCAUCGAUUCAAGAGUCAAAAAGAAAAUCAAGUAUCAGCAUAAGUAAAUAUUUCUUCUGUGGAUUCACAUCAUUACAUAACGAGUGAGAGGGGAUUAUUUCGAUUCUCAAUUAGUGGGAUUAAUUCGAUUUGAGGAAUUUGUGGCUCAAAUUAAUAAGUCUUAGGCGAAUUAUUCCCCCACUAAACCAACGAUAUGAUUUCUUUUUGUAAUUACCGAAGACUAUGGUUUUAACCAAUAAUUAUUAUAUUCCCAGCUAGCUAGCUCACAACAUAUUAUAUUUUCGAAUCUCAUUUAAUCAUGGACUCUCAUAAUUUGGGCUCAUUUCAACUUUGAAAGAUCUAUUGUGUGAGAUAUCAUAUCAUUAGUAGUGAACAGCACUGAUACAAUGAAAACUUUAAUGAAUGCCGUCACUGCUGUAUCGAGCUACAUGUACAACUAAAAGUAAAAGAACACCAUAAUUAAAAGAUACACACUCUUUGUGGCAUGAAUUUGGACCAUAUGAGAUGUGCUUAUCUUCUUAAUUAUAAUCUUUUAGUUUAGGUCUAAUAUUUUUAUUUAAAGUUAAUUCUUUUACAUUUACGUUCUAACUAAUUUCUUCAUACUGAAUUCCGUCUUUUCCCAAGAGCUCCUUUGAUCAAAUUCAUCAACACAGACAGCUUGUCGAAGUGGAAUCUGGGUCUUGCAGCUUGAGGUUAUUUUCCAAUGCCUCUUGAUCAACAAAUUACGCUCUUUCUAUGCUUGCUUACUCUCACAAAUGUGAGAGCAGCGGUUCAAGUCUUUAGAAACUCACUCUCCCUCAAUUAAAUAUGAUUGAGUGGAGACCGUGCAGUCUUUUUUCUUAGAAAUUUUAGUGAAGUGAACAAUUUUUGAAUAUUUGUGAGGGUAGAUAAUUUGGGCAAGUGUUUCAUAAAAUUUAAUAUAUAAAGUUAUAGUCAUAGUAUGUAAUUGUAUGUUAAAAUAGUAACCGUAAAUAUUUGAUGUAAUAUCAAUAUUGAGAUCUAUGCGAUUCGAAAAGCAGUUGAGCUUGCUAUGCAUCAAAGGGCUGCAAUUUUCUUUGAUUGGAAACCGACUCUUCUUGAACUUUGGCUUGUCUUAUGAGUUCGGGUUUCAAGCCUCCAUGGUCAUUGCUGGUAAAGUGGUUAAAUUGUUUAAGUCUAAUUCAUGGCAUGCAUUUUUAUUGGGUACAUAUUUUUCGAGAACACAAUUAUGACAGUCUAGCUAAUUUGGGUUUUGUUAUUAAUGAUUUUAAUUGGUAGGAUGCUCCUCUAUUUUAGCCAUAAGGAUCUUCUUAAGGAUAUUUAAGCUCUUUUCAAAUAUUAGUUCAGCUGACUGAGCAUGUUGUUCAUUCUCUUCUUUUUCCCAUUAAUAAAAUUUCAGCAUCAUUCGUGUGUGUAUGUAUAUACAUGUGUAUGUAUGUAGGUGUAUGUAUGCAUAUACGUACGCACGUAUGUAUGUGUAUAUAUAUAUAUUAAUGAAAGAUUGGCUGAUGAUGGGAUCCAAAUUUCUUUGGAUGUAUUGAUGUAAGGUUUUAGAUCUAUUCACAAAGAGACACAUUUCAUGAAUUAUUACUAUUUGAUUAAUCCAAUCACUCAAAUUAAUCCAUUACAUCAGCUUUUCUCUCGCAUCGAUUAGAUUUUACUAUUUUAGUAUAAACACAUCUACUAAACGUCAAUUUCUUCUGAUGAUCACGUUUGCCAUUCAAACAACAACAACAAAAAAAAAAAAUGCCAUUAUUCAUCAUCACAUUCACAUCCAAUCUUAUAUUAUUUCGAAUUAGUAUUAUUUACACUUUGGACAAGUAACAUUAUUGAUUUUUUUUCUAUUUGGAAUUCAAUAAUGCAAAUGGACAAUACAACAAUGGGGUCCAUAACAUUAGUGGAUACUAAUCAAGCUAAAAUUUCAAAUUGUGAAGAUGCAUAUGUAGCCUUUUAAAAAGGCCGUGUGACAAAGACACGAUAGAUUUAAAGUACGGUCGAAUUUUGAACAUAAUUUUAACGUCUGUGAUGGAACAGAAAUGUUCAUAGUUAAUAAAAGUACAUUUAAUAUAAAUUUUAAAGAGCAGGCAAACUAAAACAACACAAAAUGAUGGCAUGAUGGAGUUUUCUUCGACAAAUUGUCCAUAUAAUUUACAGAGCUGAAGCCACAGGUGAGAGGCUAUCUAUUGAAAGGAAAAUGCCAUUAGAAUCCCUUAAAAAUCCUUUAACAAAACCAAUCAUCUGUCUUUGUCAAGAAAUAACUGGAAUCAUUAAUAGAAAUAAAUUUAAUUAAUUAAAAGGUGGGAGCUGAUAAAAGAAAUGAGGCAGUUAAAUAUUGUCACUCCUAGAAAUAAUUGAAAGAAUUUGCAUGUAGGAAGAAUUGAACUUGAAUCUUCCGUAUUAAUACCCUGUUAAAAAAAUGCCGUUAGAACUUAGAAUCCCUUGGAAAUCCAUUAGCAAAAUCAAUCAUUUGUCUUUGUCAAGAAAUAAUUGAAAUCAUUAAUAAAAAUAAAUUAAAUUAAUUAAAAGGUGGGGGCCAAUAAAAGAAAUUGAGGUGGUCAAAUAUCGCUGCUCCUAAAAAUAAUUGAAAGAGUUUGUACGUAGGAAGAAUUGAACUUCAGACCUCCGUAUUAAUACCAUGUUAAAAAAAUACUUGACUCAAAAGCUAAAUCCAAUUAGUAAGGGUCCAAAAAUAAUAUUUAAACCGAUUUUAACACAAAUCAUUGAUUUCAUUCAUAUAAUCUAAUCGUAAAGACGUGUUCGUUUGGGGACAAUCCAUCUAUUUAACUUUAAAAAAAAUUUAAAAAAAAUAACCAAAAUUUUAUAAGAUGAUUAGUUAUUGAUUUUAAAUAAAUAAAUAAAUUUUAACGUACACUAAGAUUUGUGAAAUAUCAUUAAAAAUUGCUUUAGAACCCGGUGUAUAUAAUAGGAGAUGUAUGGCAAGAAAAAAAAAUUGAAAAUAUCUGAUAGUGGGGACCUUUUAAUUUUAAAAAGAUUAAUUUCAAGACAUCUCUUAUGAAUCAGAUAUCUUUAAUUUAUCUCCUUAUUUUUUAAAACUUCAACUUUUCAUCUAUUUUUUAUUUAGACGACAAAAAUAAAUUUAUCAACACACCCCUAUUUUUCUUUGUCUUUUGAACAAAAAUAAAGGUAAUUUGAGAUUUUUAAAAGUAAGGAGUAAUUUGAAUAUAGUUCAUUUACGAGAGAGUAAUUUAAAAUUUACCCAUAAAAACUCUAAACAAUUAUCUUAUCUAUGUAUGAUUUUACCAAAUUUAAGGACCUAAUAUUAUAAUCCUAUUAACAAAUGGAUACAUAAAUAAUUAACCGUUUGAGCUUGUUGACCUUUCUCCAAACAAUAAUGAUAUUAUUAGCUUGGAUGCUUAGUAAGUAUACUUAUUUAUGGUUUUACCAGAUUUAAGGACCUCAAUGUUAUAUAAACCCAUUUAUAGAACGAUACGUAAAUAAUUGUUGAACGUGUUGACUUUUCUCCAAAUAAUAAUUAUAUUCUUAAUUUGGAUUUUUACUUAGAACGAUGGAUCACAUAUAAGCUGUCCCAUCAAUAAAUAUCUUAAUUAAGUAUUCAAAAUGAGUAAAUACAUUAAAAUUAACAUUUUAUUGAAUCAUAUUAUCUACCCCUACCGACUAACACAAUUUAUGGUAGGACUUGAAUCUGCGUCACGUAAUUGAACCUCUACCGCUCGACUUUCGGGACGCAAGUCCUUCUAUUGGACUACAAAGUCCGUAAAUAAAAAAAUUGGCAUAAUUAAUUAAUUAAUUAUUAAUUUAUUUAUUUAUUAUAUAAUAGUGUAUGUAAAAUAAACAACUAAAUUUGCGAGGCAAAUGUCAAUCUUUUAUAAAUAAAAAAAUUAUUGUUUGCUUUCAACUUUUAAUUCUAUGUAUAAUUACUAAAUUACCCUUGCACAGUUAAUUUUAACCAAAAGAGUAACGAAGAUGGGCUUAUAUGUCACCUUGGGUACGUUUGGUUUUGUGAGAUAAACGUUGAUAGUGUGGGAUAAAUUUUUAAACUUUAAAUAAUAAUUUUGAUAAAAAUAAUAAAUAUAUUCGAGGUAUAUUUCGUUAUAAAAAUGUGAGAUAAAAUUUAUGUAGCUUGUAAAUCACAAUGAUAAGUAUUUACCAAACACCUUAUAAUUGUAAUUUUUUAAGUUAUAUCUGCCCGUUCGCAAUAUCAAAUAGACGAUUAUUUUGUUCACGAGGAUCUGUUUGAUAGAUUCAUAAAACUUUGGGGGUCCAAGUAUAAAUUACCCUAAAACUCGCCACUCCCAAAAUAUUUUGUAUCAAUAAAUCUCUGUCGAAAAAUUCUGAAGCACUGGUCACUCUCAUCAAAUUAUUAUUAAUUUAUUAUUUCCAAUUUUAUCUUCUCAUACGUCGCGUAGAAAAAAAUAUACUAUAAGAGUUGCAUAAUUAGUGCACGUCUCACUCUUAUCUCAUCAAUUUCUUAAAUAGUUAGAAGAACAUGAAUAACGAGACAAAACACAAACAAAUAUCCAUCCUAUUUGAUUGAUGGCGAUGCCGGCCGAGUUUUGUAAACGUCUAAAUGAAGCAAAGUUAGUAUAUUGCAUUGUUAUCAAUUAGGUCCCAGAAACGUCAAUAAUGGUGACAUUCAUUCACACACACACCAACACAUACGUAAAAUAUCGUAUGAUGUGUCGGUUAAAUAAAGUUUUAAAUUAUUAAUUCUUGCUUAAAAUAUUUCUUGAAGAACAAGUCUUACCUACUUUGAUUAAUUCAACGACUUCAAUUAUGUGCUAGAAAAAAACUAAAGAUGCAUGUGAAAGGUUAAUUAUAUUCAUAAAAAAACUCAUUUCUUUCAUGUCAAGUCUAAACCGAUAUCACUUUUGUUUUUAGUUGGUUUGGUUAUUUGUUUUUUUUUUUUAAUAAUUAAGGUCACUUUGAAUAUUUAAUAUCUCUAAAGAAGGCUUGAUCUUCUAGACUUUGGAUUUUGGAUAGUUAUUCUUGGUUGGAUUAGAUCUCCAGGAAUCAUAUUGAUUACGUAUUUAUCAUUUUCCUUUUCUUUUUCGGGUUGUCAUCAAAAGAUAAAGGUAGGAGAGUCCAAAUCAAUCAAAAUUCAAACAUUAUCAUUGAAGUUGUCUUUAGAAUUUUGAAGAAGCAGUUUCUAAUUUUACGCAAUCGGAUGUUGGCGGAUUGCGAUCGCUUCUUAAAUAAGUUGCUUCUGUUAUGUGGAUGAAAUAAACCACUAAUUAAAAAAAUAAUUUAGUGUUUGAUAAACUUUGUUGUCGCAGUUAUUGUGAGUUUGAAAAAUAGAGCAUAUGAGUUUGAUAAAUUUUAUAAUAAAAGUGUUGUUUUAUUAUAUAAUGACAAAAAUAAAUAUAAGUUUAAAUUGCCUUUUAUUUUAGAGUAUAUUUAAUAAAUUAUUUUGACAUGCCUUUUUUCUUUAAGUACGUAAAAUUACAUAAUGUGAAAAAAAAACUUAAUUAAAUACAAUUUAACGAGCUUCAAAAUAUGUUACAUAAAUAUGAUAAAAAUUCAUACUUAUACAUAAUCCAAAUAAAAUAAAAUGUAAUAUGUAUUACAUUCACAUUAAAUUAAUAGUGUAGAGAACAUGCAGUUGUUGUGGUGGUAAUUUAAUUGUGACGGUAAUGUGAUAUCUAAUGGUUAUGUAUUAAGGUUUAUGGAAUAAUAAGAUAUAAUUGUCUUUUUGUAAAAUAAUAACGUUAUAAUAUGAACUUUAAAAAGGUGUGGCGAUUUUUUAAAAAGCAUCUCUCUACUUGUUUUAAAAAUUACUGUUAAAAUAGAAAAAAAAUCAUAAAAUAAGUUGUUUUCAUAAAAUUUACCAAACACUAUUUUUGUCAAAAAUUAUAAAAUAAAUAAUUUAUUGAGUUUCAACCUCAAUCCCAAAUGUGGCCGUUGUACAUAUAAAUCUCUUGUAAUUUUAACAAACUAACCUCAAAUAAUUGUGGGCUUUUCACAUAGGUUGGAAGGGGUUUGAUUUUCAUUUUUGUAAUGAUUAAAAAUAAUUAGCAAAAUAUUAGAUAUGGUACGCAGUGAAUGUAAUGACAAUUAAUGCACUAUAAAGACAUAUUUAUACAAACAAUAAGUUGUAAAUUUGUGCACUCAAAUGUUUCUUUCACAAACUUGAGGACCAAUUUGAUAAUAACUCUUCAGAGAACGUUUCUACAAUGUUGACAUUACAAUGAUUCUAUCAAGGGGCAGAUGCCACUUAAUUUAUGUCAGUCCUUAGGGUUUGGACUAAUUAUCCAAUUAUCUCCUGUAUUUUUAAAAAUCGUAUUAAUAUCUUUAUUAUUACUUUUCAAGGUAAAAUUAGUAAUUCUAUCUGAUAGGAAUUCAAUUUGAAUCAAAUCUGACAUGCAACAGGUGAAAAUAAAGAAUAAGUAUGUUUGAAUGAAACUAAAUAUACAACAUAUAUGGUGUUUUAAGAAUUUUUGAAAUUAAUUAAAACUUUAAGGACUAAGGAGUUGGUAUCCAAUCCACCAUCCUAUCAAUUUUUGGUUGUCGAAGAUGGAUGGCAAGAACUAAUUUUAGUACAAGUGGCAAACUUAAUUCGGCUAACUUCGUAGGAAUAUUAAUUUGAUAAUAACCCUUACAAGAAUUUGUUCGAAUUUAAUUCGGCUGAGUGCAAAUCAAAAAUUGUGAUUGACAACUAAUAAAGAAAAAAAAUCAUAUUGUGAUUGACAAUCGAUAAAGAGUAUGAAUGAAAAUCAAUUUAAAACUAUCUACUCCAAGUUCAAAUAUUUUAAGUAAUUUCAUUUGAUUGAUUGUUUGAGUUCAAUUUUUUUUUUUUAAAAAAGUAAGGGAAUAAGAAUUUAGUUUAGACCUUGUUCACCCUCCUAUGUUGAAAGAAGAUAUAAAAUUUAUAUUAUAACAUAUUUUACUAUACAUUCUUUAAUUUCUCUAUGCAAUUUAUUGAGGAGAUCUUACUGAAAUUGAUAAAUACCACUUAACCCUUAUUUUUUUUCACAAUAUCAAAAACCCUAUUGGCAUAAAAUUUUUUUAAAGGAAAUAGAGGUAAAUAGAUCAUUUGCUUAACAAUUUAUCUUGGGAACAUAAAAUAUAUAUUUAAUAUAAGAAAAAUGUUUUAAAAUAGUAAAAAGUAUAAAAAAAAUAUCUUAUUAUUAAUUUUUUAUUUAUACUAAUUUUUUUUUAGUACUAUUUUAAUUUUAAUUUUAAUUUUAAUUUUUAUUAAUAUGAUUUAUUUUAAUUUAUAAUAAUUAUGAACUAAAGUGUAUUUGAAAAUAAGGGUAAUACUUAGCUAAUAUGAAAACAAUAAGAAAGUAAAUGAUAUAUAAAUUAAUUUUAGUAAACGAAAACUAACAAUCUACCCAAUUUAUUGAUUAGCUUGUUCUUUCUUUACAUAUGUCUUCAUCACUUUUCACAUGUUGUAACAUGUUUGUUUUCACACUCAAAUAAUUCUUAAAAACUUUGAACCUUUUUCCAUUUAAUAUCUUUUUUUAAUCGAGUGGGAAGUUUUUCUUGAUUGAUACUGUUAGAUUCACACCCACACUUUCCCUUCAAUAUAUAUGAAAGCCUAUAAUUAUACAUAUAUAGCCCUUCUUUAGUGUAGAUACUCUCAUUUUUUUUUUUCAUGCAGCCACGUUUUUAAGCUAUAUGGUUUAAUAAAGUCAGAUUUUAAUACUAUUAAAUUGCAUGGCUUAAUAGCAUGUCUGCAUUAAAAAAAUGUGUCUAAUAUAUAUAAUGCGGAUACAUUGUUAAGCGAUGCGGCUUAAUAAAGUUAAUUUUUAAUGCACUAUAAAACCGUGCAGUUUAAUAAUAUUACAAAUUGACUCUAUUAAAAUACAUGGUUUAAAAGGAGGCACGCAUAAAAAAAAUGAGUGCGCCACAAUAAAAAAGGACUUUAUAUAUAUAUAUGAGAAACAUGAGAAACUUGAGAGCUUGAGUAUCAUUCUCCCUAAUAUAAACGUUGAUCAAAUGGACACUAAACAAUCAAUAGGGUAGGAUUAUGAAAGAUUUGGGUGCUGAUGCCUGAUGCUCUCUCCCAGUAGUGAAAUCUUUGGAUAUCCUGAAAGUGAUUUUUUUUUUUUUUGUGGGGUUUAAAUUUUAAUGUUCAAAUGGACAAUACAUUGCUUAGCUAAGAGCAACCGACAUGAUGAUUCAAAUCGAGACAACUUUAAAUUUAAACCACCAUAAUUAUCUUUUGUUCAUAGUGAUUAUACAAUUAUAUAUUAUGAUUAAAUUAUGUCAAGCUGUAUUCAAAUAAUUGCAGUGGUUUAAUUCUGGCAUGAUUCUCGAAAAGCUUAGAAGAAGAUAUAAAUAUAUGCUCAUUUGAAACUGGCUUGAUUUAAUUAGAGAACUCUGACAGUAUUAAAAUCAAUAAUAAGUUAAAAGAGAAAAAUAAAAUAUAUUACAUUAAAAUUAAUAUUUUUGUAUCUUUUAACUAAUCACUGGCUUUAAUUAGAGAUCCACGAUAAGAAAAUUAUUCACACACUUAAUUAAAUUGCAAAAACACAUUUACAUUAUAUAAAGUGUGGGAAAUCCCCCCCAAACAAGCACUAUAUAUAUAAAUAUUAUUUAGAAGAAAAAGAAAGUGAAAAUUCAAAAAGUUUUAAGACUCCUAAUCUAUAUUUAACUUCAAUCACAUCGUCUUCAAAGUUUACUUAAUUUAAUAGUCUAUUUGAGUAGAUUUGUUUAAUAAAUACCACGUAGUUUAAUCUUCUAGUUAAUGAUUUAGAAUAGAAUACACGUACCGGGUAUUUGGUUUUACAUUAAUGGAAGCAAUUAAAAGAGAUAAAAAAAGGAAAAAAAAACCAUCAACCUCGUUAUCGGCCGGCUUAUCUUUGCUUUAAGACUUUUUCGUCUAGAAUAUUUAAAACUAACAAAUAGAGCAAGAUUGCUUAUUUCAGUGGAAAUUAGAGCUAGGGAGGGCAGCAGUUUGAAUCCCCACAAAAGUAUUGUAGGAGUAUUUUUUUCUUUAAUUAAUUGAGUGAAGGUAGUUUUCUUCUUUACCCAUGAAUGAGGAGUAGACAUCCCUCGAAUAUUUAUAAGGAUUAAAAUCUGGGUAAAAUUUUAUUAGCAUUGAUGUAAGUUGGUCCCACAAUAAUAAUUUGAUUUGUAAAUAUCAAUUAUAGUCUCAUGUAAUAUGAGUUGUAAUCUGAGUAAUAGUCUCAUGUAAUAAAAAAAAAGUGGAAAUUAGCUAGAAGCAACCUUAAUCACAGAGGUUAGGUUUGAACAAACCUCACUUGUAUAAAGACUUUUAGCUCUAACCUCCAUCCAUAAUUAAGUCAACUUAAUUGCCUUUUAAUGCGGGUUAGCCGACGCGUAUAAUACAGCCUGCAUAAUUUGAGAAAGCGAGAGGAAGUAGAAAAUCGCCCAUUAUAUUCACACACUAUACUCUUUUGGGUUUUGGGAUCUAUACAAUAACAAUACAAGCAUCUUGCAUUUGAGAUAAAACUUAAGCCUUUACGGAAGUGACUUUUUAUGUACAUAUAAUUAUUAUAUUUUAUUUAAAUAUUAAUAACUAAUUUAAUUUGAUUAAUAUAUAAAAUCAAGUUAUGUUGAAACUGUUCUAUAAUAAAACAUGUCUUCAUAAUCACAUAAUUAAAAUUAUAACGUAUUUUUUUAUUAAUUAUUACUUUACGUAUAUGGUUGUAAUUUAUACUCUAUCUUAAUGCAGUUAUAAAAUAACUAUUGACUCAUGUAUAACAUGAUACGACAGUAAUAAUAACUCGUCACAUCAGUUAAAUUUUAAAUUGAGAUUCCUUAAUUUACUUUUUUGAUCUUUUUGAGAUGUCGUGUUAUCAAAACAAACGAAGAAAAAGAAGGGUGUGUUGAAACAUGUAAAAAUCAAACGUAUACGUGCCAUGCAUAUGAAGCAACCAAUGCUUGUGGCAAGAAUUUUCCAAGAAAAUAGGUGGUGGAAAAAUGAAGUAUGCUGAUGAGGAAUUGAAUUAGGAAAGUUUUGAAUUCAAUGCAUCCAAUUCUGAUGCAAGAAUGACAUUUUCUCCUGCGAAAUCCACCGGCUGAAACACAUGCCGCGUGGAACUUUAUUGACCAGUUGAUGAUUCGGCAGAUCUAGCAUGCGUAACCAGUAACCACAUCAAUUAAUUACAAGUAAUUCUGAAGGUGUAGGUGAGGCAGCGAGGUGGUUGCCAUGGCCAUGUUUCGAUACCAAAACAAGCUAACAAACAUUAAAGGAGAGUAGAUUUAUAGAGGCAAGAAUAAGGCGGUGGUCCUUAUUCCUUAAUUAAGCCUUGGUCAUCAAGGCUAGGCUCAGGGCAUGUGAUCGACUGAUACCUAUUUUCAAGCACAACUCGUCUUUCAAAUUCUCCAUUAAUUUACACAGAAAAUGGUAUAAAAACGAAACUGGUUUCUUUGGGCCACCACUGAAAUUGUUUUUGACCGUUCAUUAAAUCAGUUCAGCUACUUUUCAAUGUGGUUUGUUGUUUGGUUUUAAUUUUAUUAACAAAUUUGUUCAAAGAACGUCUGCUUCAAUUGUUUGCCCUCUCAAAUACAUGUUUCUUUUUGUGAGAAGAGGCAUGAAAUUUAUAUUCAAAUGGAAAGAGCAAUAAUACAUAUAUAAAUUCAUAGUUUUUUUUUCUUUUUUUUGAAAUUUGAUUUGUCAUUUUAGCUGAAAUACAACGUCAUUAUCAAAAAUAUUUAAGUUCCGUAUUUAAUUCAUGUUUGAGAUUGAGGUAUUAUAUCUUUUAAGCUAUACAUGCUAUAGAAAAAAAAUACUAUUAUUAUGAAAUAAAAAUUAAUAAUAUGUAGUAAAUAUAAAUUUUAAAUAAUAAUUUUGAUAAAAUUAUUAAAGAUAUAAUAGAUUUUUUAUUAUACAAGUGAAAAAUAUAUUAAUUUAGCUUCCAAGCUAUAACAAUUAGUGUUUACCAAACAAUUUAGUACUGUACCUUUUAAGUUACAGCUGCCCAACCUCAAUCCCAAAUGCAUAUUUAAUUAUUUAGUUACGAAUUUAUAUUAACUAAAUCCAGAAAUGACAGAAAAAAUAAAGAUAUUAAUUCAUACUUAAAUUUAUGAGAGAUAUCGUAACAUGAUUGAUUAAUUUGUGUUCAUAAUAUUUAUUGUUUUCAAUAGACUUGCACAAUUAAAAUGUAUUUAUUUUUUCAAGUCUUUAGGAGUAUUUUACUUAUUUAAAAAAAAAAAUUAAUUUUGUUAACUCAUUCUUUCUUUACACUAGUAAAACUAGGGAAAUCCAUAUCCUAGGCCAGGGACGUGCUCUCGUAUCCAACCAAACAAACAGAGGUCCGGGUAUAAUCUGGUAGUUCCACCUACUCUUUGGGGACAUUUAUGUAAAUCAGCAGAAAAAAAUAUCUAAUAACUUUCAUGAUAAUCUCACCAGCACCACCGUGACACGCACGUCACAACAAGGCAUUUGAUACUUCACUUACCGCCCUGACAGAAUUAUAAACGUAUCGCAUGUGCCUUGUUCUGUGGAUCAUCUCCUACACGUGUCACGCCAAAAUUGAACUUACAUGUUAACCGGAAGAGCCGGUGUCCAAAGCAUCUGGACGGCGCGUUCUUAUCUAUUAAACAAACGGUAAUUUACCGGUUCCGUGCGAUGGCGACUGACUCUGACGGCAAAGCCACGUGGUGCCGAAGUUUCACGACGUGGCGCCGUGCAUGUACUUGAGCCGCAGAGGCUGACUUACCGGCUUUCUUUUCUUGGGACCCGUAAAAGUUUACAUAGAAACGUUUGUCAGUCGGCGCCGCUUUAGUGAGUAGCUCGGCUUAGUUGUACGUUUAUUCGUAGAUGCUGGAUAAAGUUAGUUUGAUGUCAAAAACGUGGGGGGGCGGGACCCGCGUAGGGAGAUAGGCUUUGGGUUUGAUGACGUUGGUUUAGCCUUUCUAGUUAUCUUCAUUUUUUAUUUGAACGGCUGUGAUGGCUCUAUGGUACACGUGGGCCCCACGUUUGUUGGAGAAUCUGAAGCGGGACCCGCUAAAGGAGAGGACGAGGCGGUUAGCAAAAUUGGGCGACACGUUGGUGUGUUCGUUAGUCAACCGAGAUAUUUUUAUUUUUUUAUUUAUGUUGAAAGCGGGAGUAGAAUUUUUCACUUUGCUUCCGGUGGUCUAAUUGUCGACGCUGAAAUUGUAUAUAAUUGUGGAUCAUGGAUUCUAUAAUAUUUAACAAUAUAUUAUUAUAAAAUAAAGUUUCAUUAUCACAAGAAUUUCCUGGUAAAAGAAAACGUAAUUUAGUAAAAAUUAUUGCUUGCUCCCGGCUGAAAUUCCUUACUUGAAGGGAUUAAAAGCUUAACCUCUAUAAUUUUUAACAAUAUAUUUUAAUAAAAUAAAGUUUCAUUAUCUCAAGAAUUUCCUGGUAAAAGAAAAUGUAAUUUGGUAAAAAUUAUUGCUUGCUCCUGUAAAUCGGCUGAAAUUCCUUACUUGAAGGGAUUAAAAGCUUAACCAUACUUUUACAAUUUUAAUUAAAAUGAAUAAACGAAAGUGGCCAUUAACUCUUCAAUUGAAUUUCGAGCUCUCUGGUUGGAGUCAGAGGGUAGCUCUACUUGAUAGUUAGACUGCACUAAAUCUCUUUAAAAUUCCUUAAAUUUUAUAAUUUUUAUAUAAGAUUAGAGUUUUUUUCUUUAAUAAAUUUUUUCUCCAUUAUUUCACAAAUCAAUCUCUGCUGAAAAUAACUUAUAUACCCUUUAUAGUUUAUUUACUCUGACAUUAAAAUUUUAAAAUUUAAUAUUAAACGAGUAAGUUAUCAUUUUAAUUAGAGCGUCUUAAUUCUAUUAUAUAUAUUAAAAUUCUUGAUGUGACAUUAUUUAAUAAUAUAUUUCUUUUUUAUAUAUAUAUAUACACUAAUAGCCAAUUAUAUACAUUAAACUCAUAAUUUAGCUUGACCUAAUUAAAGAUCUAAAUUCGUAGCUGUGCGAGUCAUACCAAAAAUAUCAAGUCGGAAAUAUUAUAAAACCAUGUUGCCACGUAUCACUCAAUGGAAUUCAACUUGUCACACCAAUCUCGCUUCCUCAAACCUCCAACAGAAAUUAAAUUAAACAAAAGAUAAAUCGUAAUUAAGUUUGAACGGACAGCUCCCACCACAAAAGUUUUUCUAGAUUAGUCUGGGUACGAAAAAUUACAAUAGAGCCCUCGCAACUAAAAGGGGAACGUGUCAAAUCAAAUCCGAAGAAAAUUAAAAAACUGAAAAGACAGCAAAGCAAAAGCACUUUAGACGACUGAAACAGAGAGUCAGUGAGCCCAAAACGUACGAAGCCCACCACAUGAUUCCGCCCCCCGACUCGGUGGGCCCCACCCCGGCAACGGAUUUCAAACUCCUCUCUUAAAUUUAGUUAAUUGACAGGGGAGCAAAAUCCCAUUCGGCCAAGGAAAAAAGAAAAAAUCCGCACAAAAGAAUAAGAAUAGAAAAAUUGGGAAUAGAGACAGACGAGGAAAAAGAAAAGGCAUGAGAAGUCCGUGAAUGGAGCCUUUAAGCCUCCGCCCUACACGCGCCUGUCAGUAUUUACCUGAAACUAAUUUUUUAAUUAAUUAAUUAAUUAAAAAUUUAAAUUUAAAAAAGGGCAAAACUUCCAGGUCCUCCCUCUUUUCCCUCAACUAUAUAUACCCGGUUCAUUUGUAUCUCCCUCUCACCCAACACCUCACAUUUUCUCUCUCUAUACUUGGAACUUCUCUCUCUCU
Molecule: long non-coding RNA, 40332 nt
Filed under: Citrus maxima (pomelo)
Lineage: Eukaryota; Viridiplantae; Streptophyta; Magnoliopsida; Sapindales; Rutaceae
Description: long non-coding RNA (CMAX_LNC002380)
Source: RNAcentral